GACAGAGGUGCCAAGCGUUAGGCGGAAUCACUGGGCUUAAAGCGUGUGUAGGCGGAUCGUUAAGUACCUUGUGAAAUCCCACGGCUCAACCGUGGAACUGCUGGGUAUACUGGCGAUCUUGAGCCACCUAGGGGCGAGCGGAACAAGCGGUGGAGCGGUGAAAUGUGUAGAGAUCCCGAGGAAUACCAGUGGUGAAGACGGUGCCCUGGGCCAUACCUGACGCUGAGAUGCGAAAGCGUGGGGAGCGAACGGG
RNAcentral lists this ribosomal RNA (253 nucleotides) under uncultured bacterium. RNAcentral describes it as "partial 16S ribosomal RNA". It matches the Rfam family "Bacterial small subunit ribosomal RNA", at positions 524 to 776 of the family's 1533-position model. The record is from RNAcentral.